Molecule: ribosomal RNA, 274 nt
Filed under: uncultured bacterium
Lineage: Bacteria
Description: partial 16S ribosomal RNA
Rfam family: Bacterial small subunit ribosomal RNA
Source: RNAcentral
AUACUUAGGGUGCAAGCGUUAAUCGGAAUUACUGGGCGUAAAGCGCUCGUAGGCGGCUUGUAAAGUCGGAUGUGAAAUCCCCGGGCUCAACCUGGGAACUGCAUUCGAUACUGGCAGGCUAGAGUAUACUAGAGGCAAGUGGAAUUUCGGGUGUAGCGGUGAAAUGCGUAGAUAUCCGAAGGAACAUCAGUGGCGAAGGCGACUUGCUGGACUAAUACUGACGCUGAGGAGCGAAAGCGUGGGGAGCAAACAGCAUUAGAAACCCCAGUAGUCC